Molecule: unclassified non-coding RNA, 336 nt
Filed under: soil metagenome
Description: partial contains 5.8S ribosomal RNA, internal transcribed spacer 2, and large subunit ribosomal RNA
Rfam family: 5.8S ribosomal RNA (bases 1-120)
Source: RNAcentral
GAUGAAGAACGUAGUGAAAUGCGAUAAGUAGUGUGAAUUGCAGAAUUCAGUGAAUCAUCGAAUCUUUGAACGCACAUUGCGCCCAUUAGUAUUCUAGUGGGCAUGCCUGUUCGAGCGUCAUUUCAACCCUUAAGCCUAGCUUAGUGUUGGGAAUCUGCUGUAUUGCAGUUCCUCAAAUACAACGGCGGAUCUGUAACAUCCUCUGAGCGUAGUAAAUUUUUAUCUCGCUUUUGUUAGGUGUUGCAGCUCUCAGCCGCUAAACCCCCCAAUUUUUGUGGUUGACCUCGGAUCAGGUAGGAAUACCCGCUGAACUUAAGCAUAUCAAUAAGCGGAGGA